This 96-nucleotide signal recognition particle RNA is filed under the name Actinomycetaceae bacterium. Its description in RNAcentral is "signal recognition particle sRNA small type". It matches the Rfam family "Bacterial small signal recognition particle RNA". Rfam says of the family: The signal recognition particle (SRP) is a universally conserved ribonucleoprotein involved in the co-translational targeting of proteins to membranes. Archaeal SRP consists of a 7S RNA and homologues of the eukaryotic SRP19 and SRP54 proteins. The record is from RNAcentral. Lineage: Bacteria; Bacillati; Actinomycetota; Actinomycetes; Actinomycetales; Actinomycetaceae.
AGUGGCUCCUCAUGUGGCGCUAUCUUGUGGAAUCCCCCAGGGCAGGAAUGCAGCAAGGGCACAUAAGCUCUGGCGGGUGCGUGAGGAGUCUUUAUU